AUGGCCCUUCGUAGGGCUCGGCUGUCGAGAAGAACCCUUGCCUUUUUGAGUACCUUUCGUUUCCUCGGCAGCCUCGGCUGCCAAUGGGGACCCCAAAAAACACUUUGCAGUACCUGUAACAGUCUGAACAAACAAACAAAAAUUAAAACUUUCAACAACGGAUCUCUUGGUUCUGGCAUCGAUGAAGAACGCAGCGAAAUGCGAUAAGUAGUGUGAAUUGCAGAAUUCAGUGAAUCAUCGAAUCUUUGAACGCACAUUGCGCCCUUUGGUAUUCCUUAGGGCAUGCCUGUUCGAGCGUCAUUUAAACCUUCAAGCUCAGCUUGGUGUUGGGUGACUGUCCGCCGCCCCCGGGCGCGUGGACUCGCCUCAAAAUUAUUGGCGGCCGGUACAUUGGCUUCGAGCGCAGCAGAAACGCGAACUCGGGCCCGUCGUAUUGGCUCCCAGAAGCUAUCUUCACAAUUUUGACCUCGGAUCAGGUAGGGAUACCCGCUGAACUUAAGCAUAUCAA
This 508-nucleotide ribosomal RNA is filed under the name fungal sp. RNAcentral's name for it is "eukaryotic LSU rRNA". The stretch from base 147 to 300 matches the Rfam family "5.8S ribosomal RNA". Lineage: Eukaryota; Fungi. The record is from RNAcentral.